ACUAUUUUGGCAGAUUUAAUGUAUUAAAUUUAGAAUUUAAUUAUAUAUAUAUUAUAUAUAAAUAGUAC
Molecule: transfer RNA, 68 nt
Filed under: Psilochorema bidens
Lineage: Eukaryota; Metazoa; Arthropoda; Insecta; Trichoptera; Hydrobiosidae
Description: tRNA-Leu
Source: RNAcentral